This 624-nucleotide ribosomal RNA is filed under the name Citrobacter freundii. Its description in RNAcentral is "partial 23S ribosomal RNA". It matches the Rfam family "Bacterial large subunit ribosomal RNA", at positions 613 to 1238 of the family's 2925-position model. The record is from RNAcentral. Lineage: Bacteria; Pseudomonadati; Pseudomonadota; Gammaproteobacteria; Enterobacterales; Enterobacteriaceae.
UAAUGGGUCAGCGACUUAUAUUCUGUAGCAAGGUUAACCGUAUAGGGGAGCCGAAGGGAAACCGAGUCUUAACUGGGCGUUAAGUUGCAGGGUAUAGACCCGAAACCCGGUGAUCUAGCCAUGGGCAGGUUGAAGGUUGGGUAACACUAACUGGAGGACCGAACCGACUAAUGUUGAAAAAUUAGCGGAUGACUUGUGGCUGGGGGUGAAAGGCCAAUCAAACCGGGAGAUAGCUGGUUCUCCCCGAAAGCUAUUUAGGUAGCGCCUCGUGAAUUCAUCUUCGGGGGUAGAGCACUGUUUCGGCUAGGGGGUCAUCCCGACUUACCAACCCGAUGCAAACUGCGAAUACCGAAGAAUGUUAUCACGGGAGACACACGGCGGGUGCUAACGUCCGUCGUGAAGAGGGAAACAACCCAGACCGCCAGCUAAGGUCCCAAAGUCAUGGUUAAGUGGGAAACGAUGUGGGAAGGCACAGACAGCCAGGAUGUUGGCUUAGAAGCAGCCAUCAUUUAAAGAAAGCGUAAUAGCUCACUGGUCGAGUCGGCCUGCGCGGAAGAUGUAACGGGGCUAAACCAUGCACCGAAGCUGCGGCAGCGACACUAUGUGUUGUUGGGUAGGGGAGCG